RNAcentral lists this ribosomal RNA (649 nucleotides) under uncultured bacterium. RNAcentral's name for it is "bacterial SSU rRNA". It matches the Rfam family "Bacterial small subunit ribosomal RNA", at positions 43 to 738 of the family's 1533-position model. The record is from RNAcentral.
CAGGCCUAACACAUGCAAGUCGAACGAGAUCUUCGGAUCUAGUGGCGCACGGGUGAGUAACGCGUGGAAACCUGCCUAUCUGUACGGAAUAACGUUUGGAAACGAACGCUAAUACCGUAUACGCCCUGUGGGGGAAAGGUCCGCCGCAGAUAGGGGGGUCCGCGUCCGAUUAGCUUGUUGGUGGGGUAAUGGCCUACCAAGGCGACGAUCGGUAGCUGGUCUGAGAGGAUGAUCAGCCACACUGGGACUGAGACACGGCCCAGACUCCUACGGGAGGCAGCAGUGGGGAAUAUUGGACAAUGGGGGCAACCCUGAUCCAGCAAUGCCGCGUGUGUGAUGAAGGCCUUAGGGUUGUAAAGCACUUUCAAUGGUGAAGAUGAUGACGGUAACCAUAGAAGAAGCCCCGGCUAACUUCGUGCCAGCAGCCGCGGUAAUACGAAGGGGGCGAGCGUUGUUCGGAAUUACUGGGCGUAAAGGGCGCGCAGGCGGUCAAUUUAGUUAGGUGUGAAAGCCCCGGGCUCAACCUGGGAACUGCACUUAAUACUGAUUGACUAGAAAGCGGAAGAGGAGAGUGGAAUUCCCAGUGUAGAGGUGAAAUUCGUAGAUAUUGGGAAGAACACCAGUGGCGAAAGCGGCUCUCUGGUCCGAU